RNAcentral lists this transfer RNA (59 nucleotides) under Phyllocoptes taishanensis. Its description in RNAcentral is "tRNA-Leu". The record is from RNAcentral. Lineage: Eukaryota; Metazoa; Arthropoda; Arachnida; Trombidiformes; Eriophyidae.
CCCAACAUGGCAGAUUUAUGCGUAAAGUUUAGGACUUUAAUAAGGGUCACCUAUUGGGU